AGCAGCCGCGGUAAUUCCAGCUCCAAUAGCGUAUAUUAAAGUUGUUGCAGUUAAAAAGCUCGUAGUUGAAUUUUGGGUCUGGCCGGGCAGUCCGCCCUCCGGGUGAGCACUGUUCCGACGCCGGGCCUAUCCUUCUGGUGAGUCGGCAUGUCCUUUGUUGGGUGUGUCGGGGAACCAGGACCAUUACCUUGAAAAAUUAGAGUGUUCAAAGCGGGCGUAUGCUCGGAUACAUUAGCAUGGAAUAAUGAAAUAGGACGCGUGGUGCUAUUUUGUUGGUUUCUAGAACCGCCGUAAUGAUUAAUAGGGGUAGUUGGGGGCAUUAGGUAUUCAAUUGUCAGAGGUGAAAUUCUUGGAUUUAUUGAAGACUAACUUCUGCGAAAGCAUUUGCCAAGGAUGUUUUCAUUAAUCAAGAACGAAAGUUAGGGGAUCGAAGACGAUCAGAUACCGUCGUAGUCUUAACCNUAAACUAUGCCGACUAGGAAUCGGGCGAUGUUAUUCUCAUUGACUCGCCCGCGCCUUA
RNAcentral lists this ribosomal RNA (520 nucleotides) under uncultured Ambispora. RNAcentral describes it as "SSU rRNA". It matches the Rfam family "Eukaryotic small subunit ribosomal RNA", at positions 569 to 1090 of the family's 1831-position model. Lineage: Eukaryota; Fungi; Glomeromycota; Glomeromycetes; Archaeosporales; Ambisporaceae. The record is from RNAcentral.